CACCUCUGAGCAGCCUGCAGCCCCAUCCGAACUUAUGGUUGAGUAGUCUGCAGUCCCACGCGAACUCACCUCUGAGCAGCCUGCAUUCCCAUCCGAACUCACCUCUGAGCAUCCUGCAUCCUGCACAUGGACCAUUUCCAUUACCUUUCUGCAUCUUGCACAUGGACCAAAUCCACCCUUCUCCUUCCCCUCACUUUUCUCAGUGAAAGAAGAGGUUUUCAUGCAUGCACACACACACACACAGCGAAUGGCAUAAACAAGCAGUAAGAAGGAAACAAAUGCCACUUUCUGUCACAAAUACGCACAUUGCUCAGCUGCUAAGGAACCAGCGCACCUCUGCGGACGUUGUAUUUGUAUUAUUUCCUUGGAAAUAAUACAAGUUACUUGGAAACCUGAGGUAAAUCUCACCUUAGAUGGCUCAGGUCACAGGCACCAAUGGUUCCCUGCUCCUCCCAUCCCUCAAGGCAGUGCCAGACACAUAAUUUGUGGGGCUCAGUGCAAAAUGAAAAUGGUGGCCCCCCUUGUUUAAAAAGCAAGGAAAAUGUGCCAGUAACAGUACUGAAAUAUUAAGCUUUUUCCUUUCUUCCACAGUCUCUCUACUUGAAUUGGCAUUUUUUUAUUUGCUUGCUAUUUAAUGCUGUUCUAAGUAAAGGCAAAUUAAAAAUUUAAAUUUUCGUGAAUUUUACUUUUUAUAUUUUGAAAUGUCAGUUUUAAAUGAAAAUAAAAUAUUUAAUUCAUAUUUGGAAUCAUUGCAAUUACUCAGUUCAUAUUUCAUGGCUUGUGCAUGCAUAUAUAUUUUGUUCUUAUUGGAAGUGUGCAAACGCUGCAAAAAUCCAACUUAACUUUUUUAUUUUACUUCUUGUUGCAUACAUGUUCUUCCAACACUCUGUGACAGCCAGUGGCUCCCAUAACGUGACUACUUUGCACUUGCUUUAAGUUUCACUGAACUCCCACACAUUUUAGGUAGGUCCGCUGGAGUGCCGUGCUCAUAGGAUAUGAAAAAAGAAUGGUGGCAGAUAUGCAGAUUCCACGUAUCUUCCCUUCUCAUCUGCAUGCUCCAUUGUCCCAAUGGACUUCCGUGAAAAAGCAGAAGCUGAAAGAGAAAAUUAUCAAGAAUUUCCAGAUAGUGAUAGCAACAGCAGAGCACUAACCCAGGUACAGGACCCUUCUGACCUGGGGCCCCGUGUCACUGCACAGAUCACAAGCUCGUUAAGCCAAAUUUACCUCAGAGACAACUAAUAUCUUACACCAAGGCAACAGCCUUCUCUAGAAGUCACAAGGCCUGGUUCUUACGUUCCCCAGCCCCUGAUAUGUUUCUAUGCAUUAAAAGUUAGUAGAAACUAGGCACAAUGGCAUACAUUGUAGUCCCAGCCACCCCCAGGGCUGCGGUAGGAAGAUUGCUUGAGACCAGGAGUUGGAGGUUUCAGUGUGCUGUGAUCGCACCUGGGAAAAGCCACUGCCAGUCCUGCCUGAGAAACAAAGCAAGACUCUGUAUCUUAAAAAAAAAAAAAAAAAAAAAAAAAAA
Molecule: long non-coding RNA, 1525 nt
Filed under: Macaca fascicularis (crab-eating macaque)
Lineage: Eukaryota; Metazoa; Chordata; Mammalia; Primates; Cercopithecidae
Description: lncRNA (ENSMFAG00000064470.1)
Source: RNAcentral